GGGGAUUUGGUGUAAUGGACGCGCGAGAAAUUUAAAUAACAACCCUCUUCUUAAUACAUCUCUCGUAUCCAGGUUCGAUUCCUGGAAUCCCCA
This 93-nucleotide transfer RNA is filed under the name Candidatus Peribacteria bacterium. RNAcentral's name for it is "tRNA-OTHER". It matches the Rfam family "tRNA". Rfam says of the family: Transfer RNA (tRNA) molecules are approximately 80 nucleotides in length. The record is from RNAcentral. Lineage: Bacteria; Candidatus Peregrinibacteriota; Candidatus Peribacteria.